UGGGGGAUAUUGCACAAUGGGCGAAAGCCUGAUGCAGCGACGCCGCGUGGGGGUUGAAGGCUUUCGGGUUGUAAACCUCUUUCGCUAUCGAACAAGGCCCGCUUAGGGUGGGUUGAGGGUAGGUGGAGAAGAAGCGCCGGCUAACUACGUGCCAGCAGCCGCGGUAAUACGUAGGGCGCGAGCGUUGUCCGGAAUUAUUGGGCGUAAAGGGCUUGUAGGCGGCUUGUUGCGCCUGCUGUGAAAACGCGGGGCUUAACUUCGCGCGUGCAGUGGGUACGGGCAGGCUUGAGUGUGGUAGGGGUGACUGGAAUUCCAGGUGUAGCGGUGGAAUGCGCAGAUAUCUGGAGGAACACCGAUGGCGAAGGCAGGUCACUGGGCCAUUACUGACGCUGAGGAGCGAAAGCAUGGGUAGCGAACAGG
RNAcentral lists this ribosomal RNA (420 nucleotides) under bacterium. Its description in RNAcentral is "partial 16S ribosomal RNA". It matches the Rfam family "Bacterial small subunit ribosomal RNA", at positions 355 to 776 of the family's 1533-position model. The record is from RNAcentral.